UUACCUACGGGGGGCAGCAGUGAGGAAUAUUGGUCAAUGGGCUUACGCCUGAACCAGCCAAGUCGCGCGAGGGAAGACUGCCCUAUGGGUUGUAAACCUCUUUUGUCAGGGAGCAACGCCGGCUACGUGUAGCCGGACUGAGAGUACCUGAAGAAAAAGCAUCGGCUAACUCCGUGCCAGCAGCCGCGGUAAUACGGAGGAUGUGAGCGUUAUCCGGAUUUAUUGGGUUUAAAGGGUGCGUAGGUGGUUAAUUAAGUCAGCGGUGAAAGUUUGUGGCCCAACCAUAAAAUUGCCGUUGAAACUGG
Molecule: ribosomal RNA, 305 nt
Filed under: uncultured bacterium
Lineage: Bacteria
Description: bacterial SSU rRNA
Rfam family: Bacterial small subunit ribosomal RNA
Source: RNAcentral